This 1385-nucleotide long non-coding RNA is filed under the name Homo sapiens (human). RNAcentral's name for it is "PPP1R13B divergent transcript". The record is from RNAcentral. Lineage: Eukaryota; Metazoa; Chordata; Mammalia; Primates; Hominidae.
UUUUUUUUUUUUGAGAUGGAGUUUCGCUCUGUCACCCAGGCUGGAGUGUGGUGGCAUGAUCUCGGCUCACUGCAACCUCCACCUCCCAGGGUCAAGUGAUUCUCCUGGGUCAGCCUCCGGAGUAGCUGGGAUUACAGGGCCUCGAGGGCGAGACUUCGGCUCACAGCUGUAUCCCAGGGCCUAGAACUGUGUCUGACAUAUACCAGUUUUUCUUCCCAGGGUCUCCCCAAGAGCUGCUUCCUUUGACUCCUGCUGUGUGUAGUUCUGCUGACAAUGACCUGGACAGCUCUGCGCCAUGCACAGCGUCUCUUUUCUCCGACUUACCAAAUUUUAGACACUACUGACUCCUCCAUGUGAAAGAUGGGAAUUCAGCUACAUCACAUUACCCUACAAACUUUAUUGUUAAUAUUUCUUCCCGGUCAGCCCCAAACACUGAAUGUAAAUACGGUCCAACAUCAACCUGCAAACGAACACUGACAUGAAAGUGCAGUUGGAAAGGAUCUCGCAAAGGAACAGAAUCUGGUGAUCCUAAUCGUAAUGAACGUGAUCGCCGGGUAUUGAGAGCUUGCAGGUACCAGGGCUCCGGCACUACGUGUUUCACAGGGGCCACUCGGUAGACCUCUUGGUGACCUUGAGGUCAGGUACCACGUUCCCAUUUUACAGAGGAGGAAACUGAGAUAACCUACGACAGCGAAAAGGUAGCAGAGCUGGGACUGGUGCCCAGGCUCGCCGAGUGGAAAAGCCCUCGGCCACCGUGGAGAGCUCGCUUCCUGUGGUCUGAAGCGUCGCCCCUGCACCGGCUUCUGCUGCCAAGGAUGGCUUUUCCUCACUGGUGCCCACCUACGCUCACUUGUGUCAUGUGGUUAAGCCCUUUUGGCAACAUAAGACCUUUCCCAAGAAUGUGCCUCGGUGCAGAGGAAGACGGUGGGGGCAGGCCCCCUCCCCGGGAUGCUCCACCCUCCCUGACCUCACACGGGUGCAACCUGGGCCGUGGCCGAGACCUGCUGUGUGGCAGACAAUGGGAAGCCUGUGUGUCGUCCUGGGUGCCGGAUUUAGACAAUAUUUAGCUUUCCCUUGGUGGAAAAGCCUUUCCCCUCCUGCUUUGGGCAGGAACUGGUUCCUGUUGGGCGGGGCCUGGCUGCUGCCCCACCCCCACCCGGCCGGGCACCUUGACCGGCAGCUCUCCGGGCUGCUCCCUGCCUGUGUCCCUGAGCACUGACUCCAGAGGUUUAAUCAUUAACGGGCACGUUUGGCCUUCGGUCGUGGGCUGGAAUUUGGGACCUGUGCCCGGGAACAAUGAUCUCCGACACAUUAUUUUGUGUAAAAUCACUUUUAGCUGCCAUUAGCUAAUAAAGCUGGAAUAAAGUGAGGUCCAUUAACCAGCA